UGGGAUUAAAACAAAGGCCUAGUGAAGUCCUCAUAGCAUCUUUGGGAUUAUUCAGGAACCAGAACUUUUCACACAAAUGUAAGGAAUUUUACAAAGGAAUCCUUUACCCAGCAUCUCACAAAGCUUCAAUCAGAUUCCAGAAAAGGCCACUUGAGACAUCCAGGUAGAACCUA
Molecule: non-coding RNA, 173 nt
Organism: Myotis brandtii (Brandt's bat)
Lineage: Eukaryota; Metazoa; Chordata; Mammalia; Chiroptera; Vespertilionidae
Source: Rfam